Molecule: ribosomal RNA, 290 nt
Filed under: uncultured bacterium
Lineage: Bacteria
Description: partial 16S ribosomal RNA
Rfam family: Bacterial small subunit ribosomal RNA
Source: RNAcentral
GGAUUAGAUACCCUGGUAGUCCACGCCGUAAACGAUGUCUACUAGCCGUUGGGGAACUUGAUUCUUUAGUGGCGCAGCUAACGCACUAAGUAGACCGCCUGGGGAGUACGGCCGCAAGGCUAAAACUCAAAGGAAUUGACGGGGCCCCGCACAAGCGGCGGAGCAUGCUGAUUAAUUCGAUGCAACGCGAAGAACCUUACCAAGGCUUGACAUAUACCGAAAACUGCUGGAGACAGCAGGUCCGCAAGGGCGGUAUACAGGUGGUGCAUGGUUGUCGUCAGCUCGUGCCG